This 448-nucleotide ribosomal RNA is filed under the name uncultured bacterium. RNAcentral describes it as "partial 16S ribosomal RNA". It matches the Rfam family "Bacterial small subunit ribosomal RNA", at positions 29 to 523 of the family's 1533-position model. The record is from RNAcentral.
AGCGAACAUUGGCGGUAGGCUUAACACAUGCAAGUCGAGCGAGGCUUCGAGCCGAGCGGCGAACGGGCGAGUAAGACAUGGGGAUCUGCCCUGGAGUGUAGGACAACCGGCAGAAAUGCUGGCUAAUACGACAUAAUCAACAUCGGGAAAGCGCGCAGCGCACUAGGAUGAGCCCAUGCUGGAUUAGCUAGUUGGUGGGGUAACGGCGCACCAAGGCGACGAUCAGUAGCUGGUCUGAGAGGAUGAUCAGCCAAACUGGAACUGAGACACGGUCCAGACUCCUACGGGAGGCAGCAGUGGGGAAUCUUGCGCAAUGGGGGCAACCCUGACGCAGCCAUACCGCGUGUGUGAUGAAGGUCUUCGGAUUGUAAAGCACUUUCAGUGGGGACGACAAUGACGGUACCCACAGAAGAAGUCACGGCUAACUUCGUGCCAGCCGCCGCGGUAA